Molecule: long non-coding RNA, 645 nt
Organism: Mytilus californianus (California mussel)
Lineage: Eukaryota; Metazoa; Mollusca; Bivalvia; Mytilida; Mytilidae
Exons: 4
Source: RefSeq, a predicted model, not a curated record
AUGAUGGUGAUGUUGUGAAGUGUCGAUGGUCUACACAAACCCCAAAUGAUGAAUGCGGUGGUGUUUGUGAAACACUGAGUGGUUCUUAUUUAGAUGAACGUUCCUGUGUUUUGAGCUACAAUGCAACAAGAUCCAUGGGUUGGUAUGCUGUUGCUUUGCAAAUCGAAGACUUCCAGAAGUCUACUGAUACAGCUCCUUUCAGCAGUGUUUCUUUGCAGUUUUUGAUCUUCGUUGCUAAUUCAAGCACAUCAUGUGAAUCGAGACCAGUUCUACCACAGAAUAUAAUAACUGAUGGUUCGAUUCAUCAUAGUUCUGUCUACAAGAUUUUUAAUGAGUCGAUUAUUGCUAGGAGUGGUGAGGCAACGUUAAGAGUUACAGCAAUUGACACGGUUUCUCCAAUAGGAAUGAUUAAAUCAGAAUUAUUUCCAUAUGGAACGUCUGGAAGAGAAUGGUUUGUAACCGUGACUUGGGAACCAAUGAAAAGCCAGCUAGGCGCCCAUUUGUUUUGUUACACUGCGGUUGAUAAUCUAGGUCAAGCCUCAGAUCAAACAUGCGCUACACUCGUGGUAGACGAAGAAGUGGCUGAUACACCGGAACCCGAUAAUUUGAUUGUUCUAAAUUCUGAGUGCAAUGCCUUCAAAACAC